UGGGGAAUCUUGCGCAAUGCGCGACAGCGUGACGCAGCAACGCCGCGUGGGGGAAGAAGGCCUUCGGGUUGUAAACCCCUUUCAGGAGGGACGAAGGCCGGGCGGUUAAUAGCCGUCCCGGCUGACGGUACCUCCACAAGAAGCCCCGGCUAACUACGUGCCAGCAGCCGCGGUAAUACGUAGGGGGCAAGCGUUGUCCGGAAUCAUUGGGCGUAAAGAGCGUGUAGGCGGCCCGGUAAGUCGGUUGUGAAAGUCAGGGGCUCAACCCUUGAAUGCCGACCGAAACUGCCAGGCUAGAGUCCGGAAGAGGCGAGUGGAAUUCCUGGUGUAGCGGUGAAAUGCGCAGAUAUCAGGAGGAACACCAAUGGCGAAGGCAGCUCGCUGGGACGGUACUGACGCUGAGACGCGAAAGCGUGGGGAGCAAACAG
This 428-nucleotide ribosomal RNA is filed under the name uncultured bacterium. Its description in RNAcentral is "bacterial SSU rRNA". It matches the Rfam family "Bacterial small subunit ribosomal RNA", at positions 355 to 775 of the family's 1533-position model. The record is from RNAcentral.